This 69-nucleotide transfer RNA is filed under the name Epinephelus flavocaeruleus (blue and yellow grouper). RNAcentral's name for it is "tRNA-Ala". It matches the Rfam family "tRNA". Rfam says of the family: Transfer RNA (tRNA) molecules are approximately 80 nucleotides in length. Their secondary structure includes four short double-helical elements and three loops (D, anti-codon, and T loops). Lineage: Eukaryota; Metazoa; Chordata; Actinopteri; Perciformes; Serranidae. The record is from RNAcentral.
AAGGCUUUAGCUUAAUUAAAGCGUCUGUUUUGCGCACAGGAGAUGCGGGCUAGCGCCCCGCAUGUUUUA